GUGCCUUAAACUAAUGAGUAAGGAAAAUAACGAUCUGGGUGACGCCAGAUCUACGAUCAGUUUCGUACUUAAUUUUUGACGGAUUUAGAGGUUGCCCUUGGGUGACCCGCUUACUUCUGCGGGAUGCCUGUGUUGCAGCGACCUCC
This is a small nuclear RNA of Exaiptasia diaphana, 146 nucleotides long. RefSeq annotates it as U12 minor spliceosomal RNA. Lineage: Eukaryota; Metazoa; Cnidaria; Anthozoa; Actiniaria; Aiptasiidae. The transcript has a single exon. The record is from RefSeq and is a predicted model, not a curated record.